AUUGAACGCUGGCGGCAGGCCUAACACAUGCAAGUCGAGCGGAGCGGCGGACGGGUGAGUAAUGCCUAGGAAUCUGCCUGGUAGUGGGGGAUAACGUCCGGAAACGGGCGCUAAUCCCGCAUAUUAUUCGAGCGGCCGAUGUGUGAUUAGCUGGUUGGCGGGGUAAAGGCCCACCAAGGCGACGAUCAGUAGCGGGUCUGAGAGGAUGAUCAGUCACACUGGAACUGAGACACGGUCCAGACUCCUACGGGAGGCAGAAGUGGGGAAUAUUGGACAAUGGGCGAAAGCCUGAUCCAGCCAUGCCGCGUGUGUGAAGAAGGUCUUCGGAUUGUAAAGCACUUUAAGUUGGGAGGCGUUACCAACAGAAUAAGCACCGGCUAACUUCGUGCCAGCAGCCGCGGUAAUAC
This 407-nucleotide ribosomal RNA is filed under the name uncultured bacterium. RNAcentral's name for it is "partial 16S ribosomal RNA". It matches the Rfam family "Bacterial small subunit ribosomal RNA", at positions 30 to 526 of the family's 1533-position model. The record is from RNAcentral.